GCCGCGGUGGUGGAAUUGGUAGACACGCCAGAUUUAGGAUCUGGUAUCCUUUGGAUGUGAAGGUUCGAGCCCUUUCCGCGGUACCA
RNAcentral lists this transfer RNA (86 nucleotides) under Fidelibacterota bacterium. RNAcentral describes it as "tRNA-Leu". It matches the Rfam family "tRNA". From Rfam's summary of the family: Transfer RNA (tRNA) molecules are approximately 80 nucleotides in length. The record is from RNAcentral. Lineage: Bacteria; Pseudomonadati; Fidelibacterota.